UACGAAGGGGGCUAGCGUUGUUCGGAAUCACUGGGCGUAAAGGGCGCGUAGGCGGCCGAUCAAGUCGGGGGUGAAAGCCUGUGGCUCAACCACAGAAUUGCCUUCGAUACUGUUUGGCUUGAGACCGGAAGAGGUAAGUGGAACUGCGAGUGUAGAGGUGAAAUUCGUAGAUAUUCGCAAGAACACCAGUGGCGAAGGCGGCUCACUGGCCCGAUACUGACGCUGAGGCACGAAAGCGUGGGGAGCAAACAGG
This 253-nucleotide ribosomal RNA is filed under the name uncultured bacterium. RNAcentral describes it as "partial 16S ribosomal RNA". It matches the Rfam family "Bacterial small subunit ribosomal RNA", at positions 524 to 776 of the family's 1533-position model. The record is from RNAcentral.